AUGAAGAGCGCCAGCAACGGCGGCGCCAACGGGAAGCGGAAGCGGGAGGAGGAGGAGGGGGACUGCCGCUACAUCCGGCUGGAGCGCCGCGCGUCGCCGCGGUCGUUCGUGCGCAAGUUCCGGCUGCCGAAGGACGCAGACGCGGGCGCCGUGGCCGCGCGCUGCGAGAACGGCGUGCUCACCGUCACCGUCAAGAAGCAGCAGCCGCCCGAGAAGAAGACCAAGUCCGUCCAGGUCGCCAUCGCCUGA
This 249-nucleotide ribosomal RNA is filed under the name Triticum aestivum (bread wheat). RNAcentral describes it as "partial small subunit ribosomal RNA". The record is from RNAcentral. Lineage: Eukaryota; Viridiplantae; Streptophyta; Magnoliopsida; Poales; Poaceae.